Molecule: ribosomal RNA, 373 nt
Filed under: uncultured soil bacterium
Lineage: Bacteria
Description: bacterial SSU rRNA
Rfam family: Bacterial small subunit ribosomal RNA
Source: RNAcentral
AGAGUGAACGCUGGCGGCAGGCCUAACACAUGCAAGUCGAGCGGCAGCACAGUCGUAGCGAUACGAUGGGUGGCGAGCGGCGGACGGGUGAGGAAUGCAUCGGAAUCUACCUUGUUGUGGGGGAUAACGUAGGGAAACUUACGCUAAUACCGCAUGAGACCGUAAGGUGAAAGCGGGGACCUGUGAGGGCCUCGCGCGACAAGAUGAGCCGAUGCCGGAUUAGCUAGGUUGGUGGGUAAACGCCCAACCGAAGGCGACGAUCCGGUAGCUGGUCUGAGAGGAUGAUCGAGCCACACUGGAACUGACGACACGGUCCAGACUCGACGGGAGCAGCGAGUGGGAAUAGUGGACAAGUGGGACGCGAAGCCUGACU